GAGAGGUAUCGGAAGAGUUUCUUUCUGUUUUAUAGCCGUACUACCAUGGAAGUCUUUCGCAGAGAGAUAUGGUAGAUGGGCUAGAAGAGCAUGACAUAUACUGUUGUGUCGAUAUUUUUCCUCGGACCUUGAAAAUUUAUGGUGGGGAUACGCAAACUUCUCAACAGGCCGUACCAAUAUCCGCAUCUAGUCACCAAGGUGAAGAGUCUCUAGUCGAUAGAAUAAUGUAAGUAAGGGAAGUCGGCAAAUUAGAUCCGUAACUUCGGGAUAAGGAUUGGAUCUGAAGAUUGAGAUAGUCGGGCUUGAUUGGGAAACAAUAACAUGGUUUAUGUGCUCGUUCUGGGUAAAUAGAGUUUCGAUCAUUUAUGAUAGUUAUUUGUUCCCCGGAUAGUUAGUUACUUUGCCAAUUGUGGAACUUUCUUGCUACAAUUUUUAAGAAUACUAAUUUUUAAUUAGUUCUUUUAAAUAAUAACGAUUAUCAAUUAACAAUCAAUUAAGGACUGGCACGGACUUGGGAAAUCCAACUGUCUAAUUAAAACAAAGCAUUGUGAUGGCCCUAGCGGGUGAUGACACAAUGUGAUUUCUGCCCAGUGCUCUGAAUGUCAAAGUGAAAAAAUUCAAGUAAGCGCGGGUCAACGGCGGGAGUAACUAUGGCUCUCUUUCACAUCUUGCAAAAAUGCUAUCGUACGCACGGGAGGCGGGUAGCUAGACACAACAGCGUAGUAAAUGCCGUCAAGCGGUGACUUGAACGGAAAGGCUGCGUUGUCCAUAUCGAACCAAGUCUGCAAUGCGAUUCGGGCUUAAAUAAACCGGAGGACCUGGUGGGAAUCCGACAGAAUCACAUUUAUGUGAUAGACGUUUAGAUUGUGACAGGCGGACAUUCCUUAGACCAAGCGCACCAGCGCAAGGUCGAAAGGUACGACAGAGCUGACAUAAGAUCACAAAUGCGGCGAUUUUUCGGAGUGACAGGUGAAAUCGAGUUUCAUUCCGUUACACUCAACUGGAGAGGAAUCUGGAGCGGUCAGUCGGUAAAACGAUUGAUUGCAAUAGAUCUCCUCAUCGCUGAAGAUACCAAACUCAUCAGCGUCAGAGCAGUAAAUGGCGGAGUGACGUCUUUCAAAUAUUUCAUGUAUUGUGCUGGGUAUACUCGAAGCUAGAUGUACUAACCUCUAGUUUCUCUUAUACUUUUGCCGUCUACCUUGGCAUUCUAUCUAAAAAGGUACAAACAUCGCAUUGUCAAAAAGAGGUCGUUUUAGUGCGUAGGCGCUGUGGGACUUCAUUGUCCCGAUGAUGCAGCGAAUCGUGCAUACGAGAUUGUCCAGUAGUUGGUUGCUCGUAUCUUUAAAAGAAAGCCAAAUGCCUCGUCAUCUAAUUAGUGACGCGCAUGAAUGGAUUAACGAGAUUCCUACUGUCCCUAUCUACUAUCUGGCGAAACCACAGCCAAGGGAACGGGCUUGGAAUAAUUAGCGGGAAAAGAAGACCCUUUUGAGCUUGACUCUAAUCUGGCAGUGUAAGGAGACAUAAGAGGUGUAGAAUAAGUGGGAGAUAUUAUUCCUUGUGUUUGAUAUCGCCAAUGAAAUACCACUACUCUUAUUGUUUGCUUACUUACUUGAUUAAAUGGAACGUGUAUCAUUUCCUAGCCAUUAUACGGAUAUAUUUAUUAUAUCGUAUGGUAUUGAGUUUUGAUGCAAGCUUCUUGAUCAAAGUAUCACGAGUUUGUUAUAUAA
RNAcentral lists this non-coding RNA (1727 nucleotides) under Drosophila willistoni. Its description in RNAcentral is "Eukaryotic large subunit ribosomal RNA". It matches the Rfam family "Eukaryotic large subunit ribosomal RNA", at positions 1673 to 2589 of the family's 3401-position model. The record is from Rfam by way of RNAcentral. Lineage: Eukaryota; Metazoa; Arthropoda; Insecta; Diptera; Drosophilidae.